CAGUCGCCACGGUAAAACGGAGGGUGCAAGCGUUACUCGGAAUUACUGGGCGUAAAGCGUGCGUAGGUGGUGGUUUAAGUCCGUUGUGAAAGCCCUGGGCUCAACCUGGGAAUUGCAGUGGAUACUGGGUCACUAGAGUGUGGUAGAGGAUAGUGGAAUUUCCGGUGUAGCAGUGAAAUGCGUAGAUAUGCGGAGGAACACCGAUGGCGAAGGCAGCCCCCUGGGCCAACACUGACGCUCAUGCGCGAAAGCGUGGGGAGCAAGCAGGAUUAGAUACCCGGGUAGUCCCUGUCUCUUAUAC
This 301-nucleotide ribosomal RNA is filed under the name uncultured bacterium. RNAcentral's name for it is "partial 16S ribosomal RNA". It matches the Rfam family "Bacterial small subunit ribosomal RNA", at positions 509 to 807 of the family's 1533-position model. The record is from RNAcentral.